GCACAUACCAUGGAUCUUCAAAACCUUAUCUCUAUCUUCACCACCUUCCUCUUUCUCUUUAUGCUAUUGAAAAUAGCCAUUAAGAAAUUUAGUUCUUCCAAGGAUAUUACCAAUUUACCCCCAGGGCCAAGAAAGCUACCCAUAAUAGGAAACAUGCACAACCUUGUAGGAUCAAUGCCCCAUGAAUGCCUAAGAAACUUAGCAUCCAAGUAUGGACCCUUAAUGCACCUUAAACUAGGAGAAGUGUCCCACAUCAUAGUUACAUCACCUGAAAUGGCACAAGAGAUUUUGAAGACUCAAGAUCUCAACUUUUGUGAUAGGCCAAACGUUCUCUAUCAAAGAAUCAUGGCUUAUAAUGGCACAAGCGUUGUCUUUGCCCCCUAUGGAGACUAUUGGAGGCAUGUACGAAAGAUAUGCACCAUGGAGUUAUUAACAGCAAAGCGUGUUCAAUCUUUUAGGCACAUAAGAGAAGCAGAGGUUUCAGAGUUGGUCAAAGCAAUAUCUCAAAGUCAAGGCUCCAUUUUUAAUAUCUCUCAAAAGAUUUUAUCAAUGACCUAUGGAAUCACGGCUAGAAUAGCAUUUGGUAAAAAAAAUUUGAUACACAGUGCAAAUACUUUAAUUUUACCUAUUAUUAUUAUUAUUAUUAUAACUUUAUGGUAUUUGUUAUUUAAUAAUUGUAUGUUUUUUAUUUGACAAUAUAGGAAAAAAAUAUAGUUACCAGGAAGUUUUUAUAUCAUCUUUUGAGGAAGCAUUGCAAAUAGGAGGCGGAAAUCGUAUUGCUGAUCUGUAUCCUUCAAUUAGAGUAGUGCUUGAAAUGAUGAGUAGAGACAAGACUAAGCUUGAAGAACUGCAUAGAAAGUCUGAUAAGGUAUUGCAAGACAUCAUAGAUGAUCAUAGAAAUAGAAAAGGUGGCAAUAAAUGUGAAGAAGAAGAAGGUAGUGAAGAUCUAGUUGAUGUUCUUCUCAAGUUUCAACAAAAAGACUCUGAAUAUCCCUUAACUGAUGAUAACAUUAAAGCAGUCAUUCAGGUUAGUCUAAUCAAGACAAUUAUUAUCAGUUUAAUUAUUUUUUGUGAACCUAAACAAGCCACGUAUUCAGAAAAUUUUGUAAUGGCCUUAUCUCUGAUCAUUUGUAAAUUAAACAACCCAUCUCUUAAUAAUAAAAAAUUAACCCUUUCAUAUUUUAUUUGAUUAGACAAAUUAGUCCUUAUAUCAAUUUUUUGAUGAAAGAUUAACAAAAUUUACUGACAUAUUUCUAUUAUUUAUUUGGAUUUAAUUAGNNNNNNNNNNNNNNNNNNNNNNNNNNNNNNNNNNNNNNNNNNNNNNNNNNNNNNNNNNNNNNNNNNNNNNNNNNNNNNNNNNNNNNNNNNNNNNNNNNNNNNNNNNNNNNNNNNNNNNNNNNNNNNNNNNNNNNNNNNNNNNNNNNNNNNNNNNNNNNNNNNNNNNNNNNNNNNNNNNNNNNNNNNNNNNNNNNNNNNNNNNNNNNNNNNNNNNNNNNNNNNNNNNNNNNNNNNNNNNNNNNNNNNNNNNNNNNNNNNNNNNNNNNNNNNNNNNNNNNNNNNNNNNNNNNNNNNNNCAUCAAAAGUUUUAACUAUUUAAUUUUUUAUAAAAUUUUUUCUUUAAAUUAAUAAGAUUAUUAAUUCCUUAACAUACAUGUUUGUUAGCAAUACCUUUAAUUUUGUUAUAAUUAAUCCAUUUGCAGGACAUGUUUAUUGGUGGUGGAGAAACAUCUUCAGCAGUUGUAGAAUGGGCAAUGGCUGAAAUGAUAAAGAAACCAAAAGUGAUGGAAAGAGCACAAUCUGAAGUUAGAAGGGUUUAUGGUAGCAAAGGGUAUGUGGAUGAAUCAGAAUUGCACCAAUUGACAUACCUUAAGUCUAUCAUCAAAGAAACCUUAAGGUUACAUCCAUCUGUGCCAUUGUUAGUUCCUAGAGAGAACAAAGAACCAUGCCAAAUCAAAGGGUAUCAAAUUCCAGCCAAUUCUAGAAUUAUUAUCAAUGCUUGGGCAAUUGGAAGAGAUCCAACGUAUUGGGUUGAUGCCAUGGAAUUUAAGCCCGAGAGGUUUGUUGAUAAUUAUUCAAUUGAUAAUAGAGGCACAAACUUUGAGUUUAUUCCAUUUGGUGGUGGAAGAAGAAUGUGUCCCGGAAUUACAUUUGCUACACCAAACAUGGAGUUGCCACUUGCUCAAUUGCUUUACCAUUUUGAUUGGAAGCUUCCCAAUGGAAUCAAGAAUGAGGAACUUGAUAUGACUGAGUUGUUUGGGAUCACUAUAAGAAGAAGAAAUGAUCUCUGCUUAAUUCCCAUUAUUCAUCAUCAACCUUAAUUAAUAUAAGAAAAAGUAUAGGUGAACAAUGAAAAUAUUAAACAAUGUAAACAAUAGAUAUAUCAGAUGUUCAUUUUAUUAGUGUACGGAUGAUUAUUUUAAUAUUAAAAUUUAGAGGGUUAAUUUGGAGGUGUAGUGUGUUUUAUUUGAUUAGUGAUUGUUUAUAUUGUUCAACAAAGUUAUUGUCUCCCUAGCAUUCUCCUUAAUAUAAAUUAUUCCUAAAGUGAGAAAAUUAAAAGAAUGAUUUUAUAUAUUAUGUUUUAUUCACCACAUUUGAUCAUUUUUCUAUUUCUAUUACAAAUUCUAUAACCCAAAGAUAAAGUCUAUAAAUAAUUCAAAAAUAUAAAAUAUCUCUCAUUUCAUAAAUUACUUAAUUUUGAAGUUGAGUUAAAUUUAUUGAAAGAGAUUAGCAUGUGGUGUGUAUAAUAAUAGUUAGUUAAACUUUUUUGUAAUGUGAUUAGCUAUUUGUCAUGCAGUGAGUGUGUGUGUUAUGCAGAGGGUCUGUUAAAAGGAUUAGUCACACUAGUGGGUAUAUAAAUCGGCACACACACCAUUGUAAACUAACCAUACAUUUUCUAAUUCAGAUCAUUCUUUUUCCUCUAACGCUAUCUCUCUUCUUCGCUCUCUCUAUUGAGUUCUGGCCUGAUACCUAUAUGGUAUCAGAGCUCCAGAUCCUUGUGACCAUGACUUCCGCAUCACUAACUACUGCACAAAUUGCUCAAGCUUUCUCAAGUCCGAUUGCAAUGAAACUGGAUGAAAAAAAAUUUUUGCCAUGGAAAGAUCAAGUAGAAUCUAUGAUAUAAGGUUACGAAAUGUUGAAUCACAUCACAGGCGAGUCAAUUCCAAUGAAGCAUCUUUUAAUUGAAGAUGAAGCUUUAGGCACAGUGAAUCCAAAAUACGCAACAUGGAAGAAACAGGAUGCACAACUCAAGAUUUGGCUUCUUGCAUCAAUGCGUAAGAGAUUCAAUACACACAUGGUUGGAUGUAUGUUUUUUCACUAGAUCUGGAAAAGAUUGGAGACUUUCUUUGCAUCACAGAUCACGGUGAAGAUUAGACAACUCAAGAACAAACUAGUAAACAAGAAGAAAGAAUGUUCGAUUUGCGAUUAUUUGCUAGAGAUAAAGAAGGUAGUAGAUUCUUUAAUUUGUGUUGGAGCGACGAUAAAUGACUCUGAUCAUGUAGACGCUAUUUUAAAUGGGCUGCCAGAGGAGUAUACCUCAUUCAUCACCACUAUAACUGCUAGGUUUUCUCCAGUGUCAAUUGAAGAGUUAGAAGCUUUGUUAAUGGCGCAUGAAGAGUUGUUAGACAAAUAUAAAAGACUUGACAAUUUUGUACAAACGCGUGUCGCACACGUUUAGAACCCUAAUCACAAUUUUAGAGGAUAUUUUCGUGAAAAAAAAUUUCCAUUUCAUGAAUAAAUGAGCUAAAUGCUAUGAUUAUGAGUCUGGACCAUCAUUGAGCCUUGUUUGUUAUUCUUUCUUUUAAAUUUUGGUUGCACACUAACAAAACAAAUUAUUUACACUACUUUAAAUUCAGGCCCAAUAUUAUAACAUUUGAUCAUUAUCAAAUUAUUUUUUUUUUUGUUAGUUAUUAUUAUCAUCAAGCGGAACAUGCGUAUGUGACAGUCCAUCUCACUAUCAUUCAUAGGUGGCAAUAUGUACUCUAUUCGCGAGUACCCAACCCGAUCCUAUUCGACCGGGUAGGCUUAUCAACCCGAUUCACAGCGGAUAGAGUAAGGUGCGGGUAGGAUUUUCGUGCAGGUCGGAUAGGGUGCGGGUUGAGCCUCAAUUCUAUCCGAUCAACUCGCACUCUAUAUAUGUUUAUGUUAUAUAUUUAUAUAAAAAUAUAUUUUAAGUGGAUGUUGAAUUAAAGACCUCUCACUACAUGCAAAAGAUCCUUAACCACUAAAAGAAAAUCAUUAAUUGAUAAUUUAAUUUUUUUUUUUUUUACAUAAAAAUCAGUUCUAUUUUAAAUUAUCAUCAAGUUAUAUAAUAAUGUUGUAUAUUUUUUGUAACCCGCAAGUAGAGUUGGAUACACACAGGUUAAAAGCGGAUAGGGUUAGAGUUGGGAUAUUUUCAACCUGCAAAUAGAGUAGGGUUGAGUUUAUAUAAAAAUCUCAACCCGCGGAUAGGAUUAGAGUUAGAUCCAAACCCUACCCUACCCUACCCAUUACCACUCCUAAUCAUUCAUGCAACGACUGAAGUUUUUUUAUUGCAAGACUACAAUAAUUAUNNNNNNNNNNNNNNNNNNNNNNNNNNNNNNNNNNNNNNNNNNNNNNNNAUCAACUUUAUUUUGACACAAAAGAUAAUAAGUAGCAAUAAAAGAAGUGAUUUAUCAAGCAUUUUUUCAGAAUAUCUCUAUAAAAUUUAUAUAUUCGAAAACUCCAAAUUUUAUAUGGACCUCAGAUUAUUGUUGCUAUUUUUUUUUAUUAUUAAUUUGGUUUAUACCAUUUCAAGCAGACAAGCGCAUAUUCUUUCGAUGAGGAAAUCAGAAAUAUCAAUGAGUAGUGAUCAUCCUUAAUUUGUCCACUUUAUCUGACUUAGGCUCGCCACAUAUUAUUUUCUGUACCUUAUAUUUAAAUAAUAAUCUGUGACUACUAAUUGUUUUUCAUAAUAAUAUUAUUUAUUUGAUGAUAAAAUAGAAAUUAAAUUAAAAUCAUAUUUGCUUUUAUUUAUGUUCACAAUUUUUUUUAUUUUAUUAAAAAAAUACAAAGUUUGUCUUAAAAUUGCAAUAUUGUAUUUAUUUUAUUUUCUAAAUAAAUCUAUAUUUUUUAUUUCACCAAAAAAAAAGGAUUAUAUAUAUAGUUGAGUUAUGUAUAUCUUUCUCUCCUAUUAGUUCCUUCUUCCUCAACUAUACAUUACUCUAGCACAUACCAUGGAUCUUCAAAACCUUAUCUCUAUCUUCACCACCUUCCUCUUUCUCUUUAUGCUAUUGAAAAUAGCCAUUAAGAAAUUUAGUUCUUCGAAGGAUAUUACCAAUUUACCCCCAGGACCAAAAAAACUACCCAUAAUAGGAAACAUGCACAACCUUGUAGGAUCAAUGCCCCAUGAAUGCCUAAGAAACUUAGCAUCCAAAUAUGGACCCUUAAUGCACCUUAAACUAGGAGAAGUGUCCCACAUAAUAGUUACAUCACCUGAAAUGGCACAAGAGAUUAUGAAGACUCAAGAUCUCAACUUUUGUGAUAGGCCAAACGUUCUCUUUGCAAGAGUCAUGAAUUACAAUCGAAAAGCCAUUGCUUUUGGCCCCUAUGGAGAGUAUUUGAGGCAUGUACGAAAGAUAUGCACCAUGGAGUUAUUUACAGUAAAGUGUGUUCAAUCUUUUAGGCGCAUAAGAGAAGCAGAGGUUUCAGAGUUGGUCAAAACAAUAUCUCAAAGUGAAGGCUCCAUUUUUAAUCUCUCUCAAAAGAUUUUAUCAAUGACCAUUUUAGACUCUUUUAAUAUAAUAAUUAAUUUUUACUAUGAUAAUUCUAUCAGGAUUUUACAUCUCAUUACAUAUAACUUUAUCAUAUUUAUUAUUUAAUAAUUGUAUGUUUUUUAUUUGACAAUAUAGGUAAAAAAUAUAGUUACCAGGAAGUUUUUAUAUCAUCUUUUGAAGAAGCAUUGCAAAUAGCAGGAAAAAAUUGUAUUGCUGAUCUGUAUCCUUCAAUUAGAGUAGUGCUUGAAAUGAUGAGUAGAGACAAGUCUAAGCUUGAAGAACUGUAUAUAAAGACUGAUAAGAUAUUACAAGACAUCAUAGAUGAUCAUAGAAAUAAAAAAGGUGGCAAAUGUAAAGAAGAAGAAGGCAGGGAAGAUUUAGUUGAUGUUCUUCUCAAAUUUCAACAAAAAGAUUCUGAAUAUCCCUUAACUGAUGAUAACAUUAAAGCAGUCAUUCAGGUUAGUCUAAUCAAGACAAUUAUUAUCAAUUUAAUUGUUUUUUGUGAACCUAAACAAGCCACGUGUUCAGAAAAUUUUGCCGGUAUUUAUUUUCUUAAAUUUUUACAAUAUAAGAGUGAUCAUAAAACUUUAGACUUAAUUGUGAAAAGUUGUGGUUCGUAUUUAGUUUUAUUUUAACGUGGAUACAAUAAUAUUGUUGAAAUUUUUUGUAGCUUCGUUGACGAGAUACAAGAGAAAUAUCAAAGAGUUGAUUUUUUAAUAAAAAUUCAUUAUUAAAUAUUUAUGUUUUUUUCAACAUUACAUAUAUACAAUUUUUUUAUAAAAGAUCAACAGAAAUUACUAACAUAUCAUUUAUUUGGGAUUAAUUAGCUCUUUUCUGAUAAAACUUUAUAUAUAUUACAAUUUAAAUGCAUCAAAAGUUUUGACUAUUUAAUUUUUUAUAAUUUUUUCUUUAUACUAAUAAGAUUAUUAAUUCCUUAACAUGUUUGUUAGCAAAACCUUUAUUAUAAUUAAUUCAUUUGCAGGAUAUAUUUGCUGGUGGUGGAGAAACAUCCUCAGCAGUUGUGGAAUGGGCAAUGGCUGAAAUGAUAAAGAAACCAAAAGUGAUGGAAGCUGCACAAGCUGAAGUUAGAAGAGUUUAUGGUAGCAAAGGGUAUGUGGAUGAAUCAGAAUUGCACCAAUUGACAUACCUUAAGUCUAUCAUCAAAGAAACCUUAAGGUUACAUCCAUCUCUACCAUUGUUAGUUCCUAGAGAGAACAAAGAACCAUGCCAAAUCAAAGGGUAUCAAAUUCCAGCCAUUUCUAGAAUUAUUAUCAAUGCUUGGGCAAUUGGAAGAGAUCCAAGGUAUUGGGUUGAUGCCAUGGAAUUUAAGCCAGAGAGGUUUGUUGAUAAUUAUUCAAUUGAUAAUAGAGGCACAAACUUUGAAUUUAUUUCAUUUGGUGGUGGAAGAAGAAUGUGUCCCGGGAUUGCAUUUGCUACACCAAACAUGGAGUUGCCACUUGCUCAAUUGCUUUAUCAUUUUGAUUGGAAGCUUCCCAAUGGAAUCAAGAAUGAAGAACUUGAUAUGAGUGAGUUGUUUGGGAUCACUAUAAGAAGAAGAAAUGAUCUCUGCUUGAUUCCCAUUAUUCAUCAUCAACCUUAAUUAAUAUAAAUUAUCCCUAGAGUGAAAAAAUUAAAAGAGUGAUUUUAUAUAAGAAAAGUAUAAGUAGACAAUGAAAAUACUAAAUAAUGUAAACAAUAGAUAUAUCAAAUGUUUAAUUCACUAGGUAUGCAGAUGGUUAUCCUAAUAUUAAGAUUUAGGUGGGUAAUUUGGGGUAUAGUGUAUUUUUACUUUAUUGGGCCAAUUUUAGAACUCAUUGUUCACAAAAGUCAUUGUCUAUCUAACAAAGUCUUUUCAUAUAUUGGAAAUCAUUGAUGAGACCUUUUGUGAUACAAAUGACCAAUCCCCACAAGGGGAAGAUAUGCAACUUGCGUAAGGCCUCGGGGCCUGGUAUUUCCUCUUCUUCCCCUUCUAUAUGACAAUAAUUGUUUUUGCUUGGAAUACUAGAGGGAUAGCGAAUAAGGCUACCAUUUGAACCCUGAAAGAGUACAAAAAAGAUUACAAGUCAGAUAUAACUCUUCUCUUUGAAACCCGCUGUAGUGGAAAUAAGGCGCAAGGAGUGAUCAGGGAGUUGGGCUUUAUGAAUUCUUUUGUUGAAGAAGCUAUUGGUUUUAUGGGUGAAAUUUCGGUGCUAUGGGACGACCCUAAAUUAAAUAUUAACAUUAUAGAACGGCAAGAGCAGCUGGUGCAUUUCAGUUUUGAUAGGAUGGGAAUUGGAAAAUAUUUUCUCAUUGCAAUAUAUGCAAGCCCCCAAAGCGAAAGAGGAAGCAAAUGUGGAAUAGCAUUCAGAACAUUGCACAUAAUUUAGCGGAGCCCUGGAUUCUUAUGGGGGACUUCAAUGAUAUUUUUGAUCAAACAGAGAAGAGAGGAGGUGGUUUAUGUAAUAUCCACAAUUGCAGAAGAUUCCAGAAGUGGAUUGAUGACUGCAGACUUCUAGACUUGGGUUAUGUAGGACAACGAUUCACUUGGAAGGGUGGUGUGAGAGGGGAUCUUGACAGAGUUUUUAAAAGGCUUGAUCGAGCACUAGGUAAUGUUGAAUGAAGAACUCUAUUCCCAGAUGCGAGAAUUGAAGUCUUACCGUGCGUGCAUUCUGAUCAUCAUCCCCUGAUUGUGCGUUUUAUACCUGAUCGUCUGGAUAGAGGAAACAAACCCUUUCGUUUUGAAGCAAUGUGGGAGACUCGCCCAUAUUUUGACAGAUUUGUGAUUAAUGAAUGGAAAAAAGACAAACCUUUCCCUGAAGCUCUGAAAGACUUGACAACUUGCUUAAAAAGGUUGAAUAAGAAGAUCUUCGGAAACAUAUUCAAAAGGAAAAAAGAUAUUCUGAAUAGGCUAUCCGGCAUACAAAGAGCACAUAAUUAUGGCAAAAACCCUUCCUUGACCAACUUGAAGAAGAGUUGUCUGCACAAUUAGAAGUUAUUCUUGAACAAGAGGAGAUAAUGUGGUUACAAAAAUCUAGACAACAGUGGACAACAGAAGGAGAUAUGAAUACACGGUUCUUCCAUACAAAAACUCUUAUUAGAAGAGGUAAAAAUAGGAUCCUUAAACUUAAAAAUGCUGAUGGAAGAUGGUUUGAUAAUGUGGAAGAGUUGAAAAGCUUAGCUGUGGACUAUUAUAAAGAUCUCUUUCGUCAAGAUGAAUAUGGAAGCACUAUCUUGCCAACUACUUAUACCUUUCCCUAGAUGGAGAACCGACCCAGAGAUGUGAUGCAAGCUGUCCCUACUCAUGAGGAAAUUCGUAGGGCUGUUUUCAGUAUGGGAUCCUUAAAAGCUCUCGGAGAAGAUGGAUUUCCAGAUUUGUUUUAUAAGAAACACUGGAACACCAUCCAGGACUCAGUCUACACUUGUAUAACACAUCUUUGGGAAGAACCAGCAAGCAUACAAGAGGUAAAUCAGACCUUAAUCACUUUGAUUCCAAAAGUCAAUCAACCAGAAUACAUUACACAAUUCAGGCCAAUUGCCCUUUGCAAUGUGGUAUAUAAAUGCCUCUCAAAGAUCCUUGUAGAGAGGAUUAAGCCCACCUUGGCAAGCCGAAUAGCACCAAAUCAAUCUAGCUUCAUUCAAGGACGGAUGAUUCAUGACAACAUCAUCAUUGCUAAGGAAAUGGUUCAUGAGAUGAGAAAAAUGAACGAAAAAGAAUGCUAUAUGGUGGUAAAGAUUGACUUUGAGAAAGCAUAUGAUAGAAAAUGUCUUGGGGAAUUUGGAAUUCCGCAGCACAUGUUGGAUGUCAUCAUGGCAGAAGUAACCUCAGUCUCUUACAAGUUAAUGUAGAACGAGUGCAAAACAGAUGGCUUCCAACCCACGAGAGGGAUUAGACAAGGAGAUCCGAUAUCUCCUUACCUCUUUGUCAUUGCUAUGGAUAAAUUAUCACAGCUCAUUGAGGAAAAGGUGAAUCGGAAAAUAUGGAAACCCAUUAAAGCGGGAAGGAACGGACCUCUCAUCUCCCACCUCCUUUUUGCAGAUGACCUUCUCCUUUUUGCUAAGGCAGACACUAGCCAAAUGGGGGUUAUCCUUGACUCUCUGCGAGAUUUUCGUCUAGCUUCCGAAUUAAAAGUUAAUGCAUCGAAAACAUCUAUUUUUUUUUCUCAAAGAAUGUGAAUGUUGCCACUAGAAGUGCUAUCACCAACCUAAGUGGUUUUGAUGAAGCUACUGAAUUGGAAAAAUAUCUCGGGGCUAUGCUCACUAAUAGUCGCAAGAAGAAGGACAAGUACAAGAACACUCUUGAAAGAGUCAAAAGCAAACUUAAAGGUUGGAAAGCUCAUUGCCUAUCUAUAGCAGGACGUGUGACUCUAGAACAAACUGUCAUUAGCCCUUCCAUUAAUCAUGAUAUGAUGCAUUCCGUGAUUCCCACUGGCAUAUGCAAUGAAAUUGAAAAAUUGCAACGUAAAUUUAUUUGGGGGGAGGUAGGAGAGCAAUGAAAAAUGCACCAUAUUAGCUGAAAACUGCUGUGUAAACCAAGAAGUAUGGGAGGCAUGGGCUUUAAAUCACUCCAUGCUAUGAAUAAAGCCUUCUUAAUAAAGAUUCUCUGGAGACUUAACCAAGACCAAGAUUUCCUUUAGGCCCGAAUCCUCAUCAAUAAAUAUGGAAGGAAAUGUGAUUUAACUCAGCAAAUUAUAUGUAAUAAUGCAGAUUCUUCAUUAUGGAAAGACCUUGCUAAAAUCCAUUCCUUUUUUGUGUAGUUCCUGACCGUGUCUUUAGGGGAUGGGAGAUUAACCCACUUGUGGAAGGAUACGUGGCUAGAGAAGGAUGAACCUCUUCUCCAUUAUGUCAUCAGACCGGUUGAAGAAAUAUUGCAAGACAUAAAAGUUUAUGAAGCAAAGUUAAAUGAAGACUCCUGGAACAUUCCAUUUUUUAGACAAUACCUUGAUGAGGACACCAUUAGAAAAAUUCAAGCUAUCCUCCCCCCAACAGACAACCUCGGACAAGAUAGGAAGAAAUGGAAGUUCACUCAAGAUGGAAAUUUUUCAGUGGCUAGUGCCUACAAGGCUCUGAAAAACAAUGCAGGGGUUAAAGAUUGGAUUUGGAACAGUGUGUGAAAAUGGCAAAGCCCCGAAAAGAUUAAAUGCUUCACUUGGAUGGCUACCCACCAAAAGUUACUCACAGCACAAAGGAGAGCGUGUUUCCUUGGUUCGGACUCUAGCUGCCAUCGAUGUAAAGGAGUGCCUGAAACUAUACAACAUGUUUUACGAGAUUGCCCAACGGCAUCCAGGUUAUGGGUAAGAAUCAUACAUCACACUCAUAUCAACUUUUUCUUUAGAGCUCCCUUUGAUACUUGGCUUCGUUGGAACCUCACAACGAAUGUCGGAAUUGCCACCAACCAAGAAACUUGAAAAACUCAAUUCCUUGUUUCAUGUUGGUGGCUUUGGAAAUGGAAGAAUAAAGAACUCUUCUCACCACCAUACCAAAGACCCCACAAUGAAUAUGUUAUAGUUCUAAACCAUGCUCAUACUAUUAAGACAGCUUUUGAAAAAUCUGGCCUAACCCCUCAAGGAAGAAGGCACAGAGAGGUCCAUGUAGCGUGGAGUUACCCACCUGAAAAUUGGACAAAACUUAACACGGACAGUGCAGCAUCAACAAAUCCGAAUGCAGGAGGAUGCGGAGGUGUUAUUAGGAAUGAGCAAGGAAGAUGGGUGGCUGGUUUUAUGGCCAAUCUAGUAUGUUGUUCGGCGUUUUGGGCAGAAAUGUGGGGUAUCUAUCAUGGAUUAAAAAUUGCUUGGGAUCUAGGCUUAAGAAGGAUUAUAAUGGAGUCAGAUUCAACAGCAGUAGUCACUAUACUUAACAAGAAAGAGGGGUUGCACUCCCACCUUGAACCUCUUGUGAGAAGCAUUGCAAACUUGAUGCAAAAGAAUUGGGAACUAAGAAUAGAAAAUAUAUACAGAGAGGACAACAAAUGUACGAAUUGGCUGGCCAAAGAAAAUUUAAAAUCACUAUCAGGAUGUCAGUUUAUUGAUAGUCUUCCUUGUAAUCUUAGGUUAAUCCUAAAUGAUGACUGUAGAGGAACAACCUUACCCCAAUUUAUUUCUAUUUUGUAGUUUUCUUUUGGGUUUAGGCCCGGCUUUUUACCAAAAAAAAAAGUCUUUUCAUAUAUUAUGUUUUAUUCAUCAUAUUUGAUCAUUUUUCUAUUACAAAUUCUAUAACCAUAAAGAUAAAGUCUAUAAAUAAUUCAAAAAUAUAAAAUAUCUCUCAUUUCAUAAAUUAGUUAAUUUUGAAUGAAGUUGAGUUAAGCCUAUUAAAUUUCAAUUUUAAUAACUUAUAAGCCCAUUGUUAUUACACUAUUUUAAAGUGGAGUAUAUAGUCAACAAACACUACAACAAAAAUUGCAAGCGACGGCGAUUUUUCGGUCAAGUCAUGACAGUUUAAUUUAAACUACUAUUAAAUAUCACCCACGACGGUUUAAAAAAUGAUAAUAGAUAAAUUGUCGGCAUAGAAGUGGCAGCAAUUUUAUAUAUAACCGUUAGAAUAACUAUUAUAUUAGGCACACGGCAAACGACCGCGGUUUGAAAUUGUCAUUAUACAUGGUUUAAAAUUGCAAAUUAAAGUUCUUUGUCAUGGUUUGUAAAAGCUGCCAAAAAAUGGUUCAAAAAAUGGGUAUAAAAAUAUUAAGGUAAACAUAUAUUUACAUAUAGGUACUCAUAUGAAAUUAAUAAUUAAAAGUUAUUAAAUAAUAAUUUAAUUAAAUUGAUCAAAUUAUCUAUCGAAUGUCAAAUAUAAAUUUCACAUUUGCAUGUAAUAAAUUUUCACCAAAUAUUAUAUAUAUGGGUUAUGGAGAAGCAGAAAAAUCAAAGAAGAAUGCAUCACCUAUACAUUACUAUACCAAAGUCAGCUGGGACGGAUAGUACCUAAAUCCGGUCCCGCCUCGCCCCGUCCAAGAACUCGCCCCGCUAAAAAUUCGCCCCGGUGCGGGAGCGAGUAGGGGUGGGAUGGGUAUCCGCGGGUUCGGGUAGUGUUGCCAUCCCAAAUAGGUUCAGAUCCGAACAGCACUUGAGAGAAACAGGGCUUAAUUGCAUAGGAAUAUAUCUCCAAGAUUAAAUAAAGAGGAAGUAUAGGGAGCCAAUGGAGUAUCUGUAUAAUGUGUACAAUGGGGUUUAGGGAUGUUCGAUUCAGUAGGAUAUCCGAUGUUUAUUAUUCCUGGUACCCGGAUAGUUAUUCUGGCCUGGAUAGUAUGGGUCAAUUGUGUUUGAGAAAUUAGUAGUAUUUUAUCCUGAAUGUUCAUUUUUUAACUUAUAUUAGGCCAAAUAAAUAGCCCAUUGUACACAUUGUACAAAUACUCCAUUGGCUUUCCAGCGAAAUUCUUAAACAAAUUGCAGAUAUUUUUACUUUUCUUAGUAUCUCUACCACCUCUCAAUUAGAAGACAUCGAUGCAAUUCUUGAGAGAUUGAAUAUGGAUUAACAGAUGCUUAUCCCUACAAUCAUGUAUGAUCAAACAAAUCUCCAUUCUUGCUUGAAUAGAUAUUUUUUAUAUAGCUUCAUUCAUACCUCUACAAAUAUCAUAAAGAUACAUUAAGAGUGCUAUAUGAAAAGACAGUUUACUUAAUAUUAUUAAAAUAAUAAAAUUAUAACUUUUUGAAUAUUACAAAUUAAUCAUCACUACAAGAAAAAUACUCAUUUAGCUACACUUUUUUAAGCUACAUUUGAAAAGCGUAGACUAUUCAUAGAAUAGACUAUGUUUUUCUCAGUGUUGCCUUUUUUUUAGAGAAAAGGAAAUACAAUUCUGGCAUCAUUUAAAAAGUGUAGCCUUAGGUAUUAUAGAAAUCACUUAUAAAGCGUAGCCGUAUGUUGAUAUCUAUGGGUCCACUUUUUGUAUCAAAGAGAGCGCUUUUUGAGGGUAGCCUAUUUGUUAAGUUUUGGGUGCGCUUCAAAAGUGAUGCCUAAUGAGCGCUUUUCCCUCUUUUUCCCGAUCGAAAGCAAACUCACAACACUUAGUGAAAUUUUUGUUCCCUCCAAAGCUUAUUAUCCCCUUUCUGAAACUCACAACACUUAGUGAAUCACAGCGCCUUUAUCCCCUUUUUGGAACCCUCUCACCAUCGUGAAGAACCACACGCAGCACUCACUAUCGCCACAUUGCCGCACACUCACCACUCACCACUCACUAUCGCCACUGACCGUUGCUCCUCUUUGCCCUCCUACACCGAGCUGCGCCGCCCUUAGCAUCGUCAUCUCUGCGCUUCUCAUCGUCCUUCUCCUUUCAGUUUGAUCGUCAUCGCUAUAACCGUCACCACCCAGUAACCACUCACCGCCAGUCACCGUCGCUGUUGAUCGUCGCUGUUGCUGCACUAACCAUCGCUCUUCUUCGCCGUUCUUCUCAUCAUCGUCUUUUCUGUGCUCACAUUGUUGAAUAUGUAUGUAUUGAUUUUUAUUUGGUUUUGAAAUUUCAGAGGUUUAGGGUUCCGAUUUUAGGGAUUUUAAUUUGGGAGUUUUAAUCUGUGAAAUAUGGGUUUUUGAAUUGUAAUUUGAUAACAUGCAUGCUGUUGUUGAUGAAGAUGCGUGGUUUAACAGAUUAGUGAGUAUUGUUAGAUUAGUGAUUUUUUAUGUUUAUCCUACCUUCUGAUAAAUAAUAGAAUAGUUUCCUUACAGUAAAAUGUGAAAAAUGAAGAACAUGCUUCUCUUUUUGUGUUCUGCAUUUUUUUGUGUUAAACCAAAAUAUUUUACCUGCAGUUUAUUCAAGUUCUCACGCAACUUGCUUUCUGACAAUUUAGUAGCACUUGUUUCUGCAUUAUCAGAUUUUUCUUGAAUCAUUUUUUUGUUUCUAAUUUGGUUUCUUACUCUUAGUAGAUCCAAAUAUAGUUUUUAAAUUUGACUUUAUGAUAAUAGAGAAUAGAAUGCAAAUUGCAAAAAAAGAAAUAAAAAGCUAACAAUAAAUAAAUAAGUAAAAUAAAAACUUUGCACGUAAUAUAUAAAUUGUGACAUUAACUCCACCUUAAACAAUUUUGAUACUCACACUUAUUCACUUACUUAACAUGUCAGGUGCUAAUCAGUACCAUUUACUUAACUUGUUGUAAUUGGAUCCCUUUUGAAAUUUUAGUAAUAUAUAGUGAUACCAUGCUUGAUUUGUGUUUUUCCAUGAAGGCUGUGAUUCAGCCACUGGACUUGUGCAGUAUCCAUUGAUUGAAUGCAUAAUUGUGUCUUUUAAAUUUCAGUUGUAGCUUACUUAAUGCUACUGGCAGUGAACUUAUCCAAUUGCAUUACAGUUUGCUUCAUAUGUUUCCUUUUUGGGAAUUACUUGUAUCGAAGUUAUGUUUUAAGGUAUUUGGUUAUUUUGUGCAAGAACCAAGUGCGAGGAUGUUAGAAUGAUGUAGAGUUUUGUUGCAGUGUUUGAAGCAAGAGCAAUAUGAUAUUCUUUGAAUAAAUAGAAAUGUAAUGAUAAAAUUUUAUGGUUGUAGAUCGUGGGAAGGUCAGGUCAGAAUUUGGAUUGGAUACUAAUUAAAUAAAAUUUGAUUUCCAACUUCAGUCUUAAACAGCAAUCCUGAAGUGUGUGCUAUCUUAGCGCUGAUCAGAAAGCAAUGUCCUUCCAUCUUGAUUUAUAGCUCUGUGCCUUUCUUCUACUCAUAAGCACUAACAUAAUUUUUUUUUGUAUUCUUUUAGGAACAAGUAAAGCUGCAAAAUUGUUGAGAGCCAAUGAAAUUUCUCUUUUCAAAGUACCGGAAGAAACAGUAGAGCUACUUAGGAAAUAUGACCUGUAUUUCUUUAGCCCCGAGCAUCCUCCUUUGACCAAACCAGCUCAAAAAGCCCUCGAUUGGGCCGUGGAUGAGAAUUUGAAGUCAGGUAUUAUAGUUUCUACCUAUCAGUUCCAUGCCAAAAUUUGUUCAAUAAAUGAGUUAGACUCAUUGUUAGUUCGGAUUUUCCAUUUCGUGUUGUACUAUACUUUGCAAGUUACUAUUACAUGAAAUUAAAAUGAACUGGAAAGAAACUUUGAGUUGUCUUGUGCCCCAUCUGAAAAUGAUUUUAAUCUGUGUAUGACUGUGGUAAUAUUACAUGUCAGAAACAUAUAGGAUAUACCUGAUUUAUUUUUCUCAUCUAAUCAAUUUUCAGGGUUUAUGAUCUUUAUGUACUUCUUUGAAACUUACUUGGAUAUACGACAACUUAAGGUACUCUUGGAUGUACUUCUUUAUGAUCUUUAUGUACUUCUUUUAAAACUCUGGAAUUUUCAUGAGAGAACCAAAUCUUGAAGGAUUUAUUAUAGAGAGAUACUGCCCACGAAAAACUAUUGUUAGAAUCUUUGUUAGAAAUCAAGGGAUUGCUGAGUGAAAUUACUUGUUGUAUUUUCUUUAGUUUCUGCUUUGUGCUGUGCUACAUUAAAAAGUGAAAGAAAUUAAUGCUAUUUUAGACCUCAACGUUGCCUCCAUUGACCAAAAUCUUUGUAUGAGUGCACAUUUUACUGCUUAGUGUUGCUGAUUGAUUUCACUCUUAAUCCAUACAAAAAGGAAUAAGACUGAUUCUGGAUUUCUUUAUGCUUGUCACUGUUAUUAAUUUAUUUAUUAUGUCUAAUUUGAUUUAUUUAUUUCAAGUUCAUAAAUCUGGGUGAGUUUAUGAUUUUGCAUAAAUAGCCUUUGUUUCAAACCUCAUUCAAACCAACAUAUAUUGUUCUAAAAUCUGGGUAAGGGAAUUUAGCAGCCUUGAUUUCAAAGUUAACAACAAAUAAAUAAGUAUAAUAAUUAAUCUGCAUUUGUUUAUUUUAGAUACUGCACUUAUUUAAUUGAUCUGCCCUGUUUCUAUCCAAGGAACAAGCUUUUGCCUUCUUCGAUUUUGCCUGCUGCUCUUUUGCCAUGUGCUAUCCGGUUCUACCCUAAUUUCCACCUUCUUCUAGGUUGUCUUUUUUUUUCCUGCCCUGCUGCUCUUCACGCUUCUAGUAAUAAUUUUAAUUUUUAACUAACUAUUCACCUGCAAAAUGCUUUUACUUAAAUCUAAUAAUAAAAUUUGUUGAUUAAAUAUUUAUAUUUUUAUUUUAAAAAACUCCCUCCUAAAAUUUUAUAUAGCAACUGCAGGAUUGCAAAAAUAUUACUAUAAUUUGCGUUUGAGUUUAUUAUGAAUGGUUGCAAAAAUAUUAUUAGAAAGUUGACUUUGUUUUUUGUUUGCAUUGACCAAAAUUGAAGGCGGAAGUUUUUGGUUAAGGUCUUCCAAGCAGAUUUUGUCAAAACAUUGAUCGUGUCAUGGCAAGGUACAAUGCAUACUUUAAUUCUUUGAUAGUAAUCAGUGGCUAAGAGAAGGGGGAGGGGUUGAAUCUUAGCCCCUUUUUGCAAUGUAUAGCUUUCUGCCUUUUAAGAUAGCUUCAAGAGAUAUUUCUGUUUUUGUCUCGUAACUAGUCAAGAGACAUUUUCUUUUUGUCUCGUAACCAGUUAAGAAAUAUUUUUCAAUUUUGUCUCCUAUGCAACAGAAUCAGAAAUGGAGUAGAAGAGAAAGAGAGAAUCACACCCAGAAGUAUCCUGGUUCAGCUGCUAAGGGCAAUGCAGCCUACGUCCAGUCUCCAUCACAACAGUGACGGAAUUUCACUAUAAUCAACAGAUUACUACACCAAUUCUUCCCUAGGAACUACCCAUUCCUAUCCGGGACAAGUCCAGAAUCUAUCCCCAAAACUGAACUUGACUUGGUCACCUACCAAGCUUUCAACCGAAAAGUGCUAACCCAACUUGCAAGGGAAUUCACACAGGAUCAUGAAACACAACACAGAUGUACAAAGGAACUCUUAAACAUCUAUAGAUUUUUCUUUAAUUUUUCUCUCUUUGCCUUUUUCUCUCACUGGCUUUUUCUUACAAACCUCACUCUGUUUGCCUUUUUCACCAUGAGACUCAGACAGACAAAACUAAAGAAAAGAAUACAAAAUAAAACUCAUUGAAGGAGAAGAACUCUGUUAGCUUAGGGUAGCUAUGAGAACUCUGUGCUUUCUCUCCUUGCCUCAACCCUUGGCCGUUCACCCUUAUUAUAGAAGGGGAAGCUUCCAAGGUUGAAACCGGUUUAACCAAGCCACCAACAUCUUCUCCAACACAUAGCCGAUUCAGACAGAGAGAAGAGAGAGGAAAAACCAAAAGCAAAUCAACAUGCAUGUACCUCUCUCUCAUCCUUUCUCAUCAAGCUUCAUCAAUCUGAGCCUUUCAUCUUGACUUUGUCCCCAAGAAUGAAUUCAGACCCUUGAUGAAUCUUUGAUCCUUGACAGCUCCUUCCUUUCCAUAUUUGCUUCUUUCUCCACGUAGCUCCAGUAGCUACCUUAUGUCUUGGAUGAACAAAAAUAGAAACGAGCUUUACCACUGAGAUCUUUUUCUCUAACCGACGCCGAUUGCUUCUAUUCUUGGUGUGGAAAUCUUGAAGCUUCUUCUUUACAUCUUGCCUUUAGUGGCAAAAAUCUUAGCCACGCCAAGUUUCGGAUCUUCCUUUUGCUAAAGCCAUUAUCCUAGCCUUUUUUCUUCUUCUUAGCUUCUCUGUAAUUUUUCUGAUAACUUCUUCUUUCUUCCUUCCUGUAUGACAUGACCGUAUGCAAAGAGAGAAAGGAGAGAGAAGAGAGAAAAAGCUUUGGAUGCAAUGAAUGAAAUUAAAACAAAUUAAAUCCCACUUCCAUUUUUCUAUGCAUAUAGUAAUGUGUGUAGCAUUGAUUGCCAUCAAAUCAAUUUAAAUUUUCUUUCAGUUACCAAGGCAAGAAAUUAAACCAAUUUAAUUUUGAAUUCCAUUCCACAAGGGGAGUAGGUAACCAAAUGAAGCAUGCUCCAAUUCCUUUAUUUCUUCUUCAAUUUCAUACCAACAAAUUUGUUGGAUCAAAAGAAAUUUGUUUUGGGCUUCAUAUUAGUUUUCUGGCCCAAUAAGCAUUUGCUUAUGCAAAAAAUAAUUCAGCCACUUUGCUUGAAAUUAUUUUUGCACCAAGGUUAAAUAUUUUCUCAUCAAAUUAGGCUUAUGUGACUUUUGGCCCACAAAAAUAUGCACACUCAACAAAAUUAUUAAACAACCAAUUGAAAUAAAAAAACAAAUUAAUAACUUUAUAAUUAAUAAUUUUUAAUAAUGUUUGAUCAUCAUCAUAUUUCAUGUUUUUCUAAACUCAACAAUUUCAAGUUUUCUGAGUUUUGUUAGUUUUGAAAUUGCAAUUUAACUUAUUAUAUUUGUACUAUAAAUUCUAUGUUUUUCUUUAUUUGUUUUACCUCAAUGGGUUUCUAUAGAAUUACUUCUAAGACUAGGAACUAUUUCCCAACCUAAUUACAAGGCUUUGAAAGUCCUUUUUAUUGCCCAUUUCCUUUAUAGCGAAUAACACCCUUCCUCCUCUAUUCUUGUUAUCUUCACUUUGCGAUUCCUUGUAAAUUUUUCUCCUAAAAAAUUUAAUAAUUAUCAAUUAGAUUUUGUGAUAUGCCAAAGGAUUGGAUGGAUCUACCGAGGUAUAGCGAAGAGUAUAUCAAUGGUGUUAUUAGUUUUUUAUACUUUGCAUACUCCGAGGGAGAACCGGACGGACGAUAAAUUCAAUGUCCUUGUAAGAGGUGUUGUAAGGCUACACUUAUAUACAGUAGCUAUAGUAUACAAAAAAAAAAAAGGAGACCUAAGGCUACACUUAUAUACAGUAGCUAUAGUAUACAAAAAAAAUGAGGGACCUAAGGCUACACUUAUAAAAUAUAGCCAUGGUAUACAAUGUGGCUACGCUUUAUAGGUGAUGCAGUAGCGUUGAAAAGCGUAGCCUAUUCUGGUAAAAAUGGAAGCUAAAAAGCAUAGCAUUUGGUCUUGAACAGCAUCACUUGAAAAACGUACCCUAUUCCCAAACACCAAAAGCGUAGCCUUUGAGAAUAGGUAACGGCCGAAUAGGCAUCCCCCAAAAAGCGUAGCCGUAGCUUAAGGCAUUAUUUUUUUACUACACUUUUCAAGUGUACCUGAAUAGGUGUUUUUCUUGUAGUGCAUUUGAUUCAUGGGUGAUGCUAGGAAGCCAAAAAAUAAUUACAAUAUAAAAAUGUCACAUAAAAAUUCUCAUUCUCUUGAUAAGCAAGUGACAUGCACUUCCUUAUCACUUAUCCUCCUUAUCACCUACUAUUUUGCUGCAUGUUUGGAGUCAUUAAUGUUCUUUCCAAAAUCAAUUUCAGUUUCUCCCAAAUCAAAUCCCUAACAUCUCUCAAUCACAUUAUUAUCCAUUAAAAUGUAAUAAUUUUCUGCAAAAAUUAUAAAAAUUAAAUUAAAAAUUUUUAACAACUUCAACUAUACAACUUAUAUUUUACACAUAGACUAUUAAAAAAUAAAACAUAAAAUAUAAACAAAAAUUAAAAAAUAAAUUUUUAAAAAUAAUUAUUAACUCAUUAUAUUAAAAUCAAUAAAUAAGCAUACAUAUGAAUAUUAAAUAAAAAUAUUAAAAUAAUUAAAAUUAUGACCUAUUAGUACACAUAUGAGAUAAUUUGAAAAAUACAAUAAAACAUAUAGUUUAAAAUUCGAUAAUAUUAAUUAUAAAAAUUUAUUAAUUAUAGACAUCAUAUAGGUAUGAAAUUAUGAAUAUUAUGAGUACAAAUUAUGGAUGUUAUUAACAUGAAAUAAUGGAUGUUAUGUGUAUGAAUCUAUGGAUGUUAUGAGUAAAUUUAUCAAUUUUUAAUUUAAGAAUUUGAUAUUUUUUUUAAAUUCAAUUAUGAUAAAAUUUAAAAACAUAUGUGUUAACUUUAUAGUUACUUAUGCAAUAACUAAUUAAAAAAUGAUAUGUAUAUGGAUGUAAUAUCUAAUAAACAUAAAUUUAAUUUUUAGAUGUUAGUUGUAUGUAAUUAUGGAUGUUAUGUAUAUGAACGUAUGAAUUUAGUUAGUACAAUAUAAUUAUAAAUGCACAUAAAAGUACAAAAAAAAAUUAAGUCAGUUUAUUAUCAUACCUCAUCAAAGCUAGUAUGUUUUUCAUAUUCUCGAAAAUUGGUUGACUGACAACCUCGUCGGGUGAGUCCGUCUGUUGUUCAAAUUCUUCAUUAGAUAGGUACCGUAUUAAGGUCGAAUUCAAAUGCCAUACUAUUUGCAAUGAUAAACGCGAUUUCUUGUAAAAUUUCUUGACUUAUACACUAUUGUGCUUACAAUGGUAUUAGAGUCAUGAUUUUUGAAUGAUCAUAAUUGAAUUAAUGGAAGGUAUAUAUUACAAAAAAAUUAAGUGCAAUUAAAAUACCUUAACGGAAAUAAAGAAUUAAUAAUUUUUUCGUAUCUCUAUUGAUUGGUAUUAAAUGCCUUAAGAGAAACAAAGAAUCAAGUGCAAUUAACUCAAUUAAUAUAUAUUAUCAUUACCGUCUAUUAUUAUUAUUAUUAAUAUUUAAUGUAUUAUUAAAUGAGCAAUGCUAGGGAACCAAAAGGGUAUUAGCCAAAAAUCAGCCAAAAUAUUUUUGGUGAAUCCAAAAUUUCUACGAAUUAAUAUAUAUGGAUGUUUCUUCUGCUAAGUAUCAGAAUGUUUCUUUUUCAUACUAAAUGAAUGUUCUUUUAUAUAUUUUUUGAAUUUUUUUGUAUUGCAAAUGUGAAUGCCUCUAUUUCUUUAAAAAUUUCAUUUUUUUAAAAUUUUAUAGAUAUUUAAUUAUUUUUGCUAAAAUAUAAUUAGAUAUUUCUUUUGUUAAAUAUUAGGAUGUUUUUUUUCAUAUUAGAUGAAUAUUUUUUUAUAUUUUUGUUUAAAUGCUUGUAACAUCCACGAGAAAUUUUGUUUAUAACCUGGUUGGUGACAUUUAAGUCUAAGAUUACAAAGGAAGAGAAGUUUGUUGUCAAAAAUAUUAAGUAUUGAUUACAAGAAUAUCAUAUAGUAAGAGAUAUGAUAUUAUAAUUAAUAUGAUUAAUAAGUGAAGUUGAUAAGAAUAUGAUAAAUAAAAUAAUAAGAGAAUAAAAUAAAAAAUAAAACUGUUAUUAAGUAAUGUAAAUGAAGUAAAUUAUGAAAAAUUUUAGUUAAUUAUGGCUUACCAAACUUUUUCUUUGAUUCAUAAACAUCAUAUAUAUCCAAAACAGUAAAUUUUAUUGGUUCUUAAUAAAUGUCCAUAUCUAAUAUAAGUGGGGCUUGACUUAACUAGAGUAGAGUAGUGUGAUCAUUAUUGUAUUCACAUGGAAUUAUUCCGCACGCCAAGCAAUCUCAUCAAUAAGUGACCCAUCACUACGGUGAUAUAUCAAGUCACGUAUCUUUAAUUACCAUAAAUAUUUUAGGAACAAAAUACUUUUGAUUUGUUUCAUUAAUUUAUUUAUAACACCUUAAGUCACAACUAAAAAAAAAAAUUAUGUAAAUUCUAAAGUUUGAAGAUUUAUAAAGAAAUAAAAUAAAAAUUAACCGUUAUCGAAUUUAUAAUUAUUAUAAUAUAUAAAUUUUAUUAUCUUAAUUUAAGAAUUUAGACACUCGUUUUUUUAUUUUUUAUUUUUUUUUUACUUUAAAUGAGCCUAAUUGAUUGUAAGUAUAUUUUGAAUUUAUUAUAAAUUUUAGGAUAAUUCACAUUAAUAAAUUAACAUUCGUCCAAUAAUUUUACGUGAAUCACCUAAAAUAAAAAACAUCAUGUGUAUCACCCUAAUUACAUUUCUAUAUAAAUCGAAUGAGUCAGAUUAGAUUUAGCUUUCCAUAUAAUUAAAUUGAAAAAGUCUGGUUCGAUUUAUACAUCUUUACAUGCUAUCCUAGUAAAUCUAAUCAAUAUGUUUCAAUUUAUGCAUGCAUGCAUGCUAUCCUAGUAAAUCUAAUCACACUGUUUCGAUUUAACCAUGCACGUGAGCCCAUAGUAAUUCGAAACAAUCUAUUUCAAAUUACACCCUGAUAUUGUCCUUAUAUAUUCUAAUGGGACUGAUUAGAUUUACUGUGAGGCUAACCUAUAUAAAUAUGAUAUGAACGUUAAUUAUGUAUGAGAGUAAAAUACAAUGGCUAGUGAGGAUAGUUUUCUAGUAUUAGUGUACUAUAGAGGGUCGAUUAAGAAAAAAACACGUUUUGAAAUUAAAUUUACUGAUAAGGAUCCCCAUAGUGUUUUUUUGAAACCUUCAACGAGUUUCACUGAGUUCCUGAAUUCUAUAAUCCAAAAACUGGGGUUGCAAGACGUGAAACGGGUUGAGAAAUUAUUCUAUAGAAUUUCGAUUUCAGUUUUGCGGGAUGACGUGAAGUACGAUUCGUUCUUCAUAGGGAGUAACGAAGAUUUGGAAGUAUUCCAUUGUCAUUGGCAGUUUCCCGAGGUCAGGACCCUUGAGCUGUUGGCCAAACUUAUAGGUGUGGUCUCCAGCUCAAGCGGUUCGAACCGGGCUCCCCAAGCUCCAGCAACGGCAGCCUGUUCUAGUUCGAGGCUUGGUGGUGCCUCGUCAUCCGUGCCUGUGAUUACGCCUAAGGUAAUGUUGGUUGCCUCCCCGUCCUUCGCAGCUGAUCUAAACCGCAGUGGUGACGGAGAAGUAGGUAUUACUGAUACGGCACUGGUUUCAUUACAGGGUAGAGCACCAGAUGGUAUAGACGAUGUACUACGGGAUGAUGAUGAGGAUGACAAUGUGGAGCCGAACAUAAUUGCCGAUGAUAGUGAUGAUGACAUAGCAGGAAGUAAUCCAAUUGAUGGUGGUGCAAUGUUUAGUUUAGGGACUUAGCAGUACCUCCUGCACUUUUCAAAUUUAGACUUGAAUGCCAUGAGAUAGCAGGGGAUUCUUGGUGAACCUAUUGGAUUUGGUGCCAGAGACACACAAGAUGCUGGAGGACUAGUGAAGUUUCAGGUUGUCAGCAGUUUUAGGAUAAAGAGGAAGUCGUGUUAAGCGUAAAGACUUAUAACAUCCGACGCAGUGUUCAGUAUAAAGUGGUGGAGUUUGAUUAUCGCAAGUACUGCGAAAAGUGUAAGAAAUUUGGCAACGGGUGCACAUGGUUGAUUCGGAUCAGUCUCCGCCAGCGUAAAGGUAUUUUGGAGGUAAAACAGUACAAUGAACCUUAUACUUGUCUAGCCACGUUGAUAUCGAGUGAUCAUAGGAGUCUUGAUUAUUAUGUGAUAUCGGCAUUCAUACUGCCAAUGGUUAGAGCUAAUGCUGCCGUGUGUAUCAAGGUACUUCUAAAUGCGACAGAGGCACUGCACAUUUCGGUUUUAUACCGACUUACAUGAGGGUUUGGUUGGCUAAGCAGAAGGCCAUGGCACAGAUUUACGAAAAUUGGGAUGAGUCAUACAAUGAGUUGUCGUGAUGGGUACUAGGUAUCCAGAUGACGAUGCCGGGUAGUGUUGCAGUGCUGAGGACGAUCCUUGUGCGAGUGGGUGAGCAAGUGGAUCAGUCGCAUUCCUAUUUCCACUGGAUUUUUUGGAUAUUUCUACCAUGUAUUGAGGCCUUACGACAUUGCAAGCCAUUGGUCAAUAUUGACGGGACCCACUUGUACAUCAAAUACGGGGGGACAUUGCUCGUUGCGAUUGGUUAGGACGAGAAUUCCAACAUCCUACUGGUUGCAUUUGCACUUGGGAAGGGUGAGAAUUCUGAGUCGUGGUCAUUUUUUCUAUCCCACAUCUGCCAGCACAUCACUCCGCAACUGGGUCUUCUAAUGAUACCGGAUCGGCACAACGGUAUCAAAGCCGCACUAGAAGCUCCCGACGGAGGUUGGGUAGCACCUGCUGCCUACCGUGCAUUCUGUAUUCAACAUGUGGCCGCCAAUUUUGUCCUAAUCUUUAAGGGCAAGGAUGCACGAAGGCUUUUGGUAAAUGCGGCUUAUGCCAAGAUUGAGGUUGAAUUUGACUACUGGUUUAAUAUUCUCCAUUCCGAAGAUCCUGCCAUGAGUGAUUGGGCUAAAAGGAUUGACUAUGUAAUGUGCAUAGAAGUAGUUUUAAAACGUCAUCAUUAGAUAUACAGUGUUGCCAAGCUGACAUUAGAUAUUAACUAUUUAGAUUUGACAAAAUAGUGACAUCCCCAGUCUGUAGGAGAUCUAUCCUAAGCCUCCAAUGAGCAACUCAAGGUCUCUUCUCGCUCGCAGUUAGGUUGUGACCUGACCACCUGCACCCCAAACACACGUUAUCACUAAAUGAAAAUAACUCCAAAUAAUAAAAGAUAAAGAUAGCACAUAAAUAGAACAUCACCUCAAGGCCAAAGGCCGGCCAAAAGUAUCAUAUUCAGCGGGCCUGAAACCAGAAAACUGCUAGAAGAUCCAUGACUGAAGCAGCUGCAAUGGACCAGCUAACUUCACAACGUUUCUGUUUGCCACGCGGCAUAUGCACCGUUAUAACUAUGACAGAGCAGUUAAUCCCCAACUGUACCCAUCUAUGUCCUCAAACUUGGCUACGUAUGGCAGCCAUUGAAUGUGCAGGAGAGUACCGGACUUGUCGCUAAAUAGCAGAGUCCCCAAAAGCAUCACGAUAUAGGCCCGGGCAUAUCUCCUAAUAGUGGCAUCGUCAGCGCCAUCAGGAAUCUCUCCGAAUGUGUCCUGCAUCCAACUGCAUCUCAUUGUAAACUUGUCGUUGCAGUUUGCAUGAGGCGAAACACCCAGCUGCUCCUGGAACCACAUCCAAACUGGGCGACCACACUCGAUGUAUCGCUCAAACUCCAUCAGGCAUGACGUACUGUCUAACGAUCGGCAACCCUAACUGGUACGCCACGUCCUGCAGUGUAAUCGUGUACUCUCCGAACGACAUAUGAAACGUGUGCAUUUCCGGAUGCCAUCUUUCUACGAAUGCAUUCACCAACGGCUCAUCCAACCUAAACCAAGUCUCGUUCAGCCUCGUAAGAUGGUAUAAACUGGUCAUCUGUAAGUACGAAACGAUCCUCUCAUCCAUGUACAUACCUUAUUAUCGUCUCAUGCUACCGAUACAUCGGUGGGACUACAUAAACAACAUAACAAAUUGUCUCUUACGACCACAUCAAAACAUAUUUACAUAACAAUAUCAACUAAUGCAUAUCUUAAUCUAAAUAAUGCCAUAAAUACAACCAAAUAAUGUUAUGGGUACAAACACAAAAUAAAUUUAUAUAUUCAUCAAUCUAGGCCUAAUAAAAAUAAGUUUAAUACUAAUAAAAUAUUUUUACUAACAACCGAAAUCACAACAUCAAAUCCAUUGACUAGUCUUACUCUAACUAAGUUUCACUACAUAUUAUCUUCACUACUCAUAUUCUGCUACUUAUUUGUAACCACUAUCCAAAUUAGAACUUGCUCGGUCCAAUCUCUAGAGAUUAUUAAGCCACUAAUCUAACCACUCUAUUUAGUUUAACAAUUGUAAUAAUGACCAUCAUUAAAAGAGACAAAAAAGCAUUAACGUAAAAUAUUUAAUUCUAUUUUUGAAAAAAAAAUUGUAUACACCAACCUCUUCAUUGAUGAUACCAGCAAUAUGGGCAACUCUGUUCAAACGAUAAAGACAAUCUGAGUUAUCUCCCAUCACGUUAUUUAUCAAAUGUUGGAGUGUUUGGGCUGAGGUUUCUCUGAGCAUUUUGGAUUCGUGGUUCGAAUGAGUCCAAUUCGAACUCUAUUUAUAAGGAUCCUCCCAGUAAAUCUAAUUAGAUUCAUUCAAAUUAUCAUGGGCACGAAACCGUGGGUAAUUCGAAACAGCCAUAACCGAAUUACUAUAGGCUUUCCAAUUCCCGUAAAUUGAAACGGUUUGUUUCGAAUUACUAUGGACAAAUGUCCAAGGCUAAAUCAAAACAGGGUGCUUAGAUUUACUAGGAUAGCAUACAUGUAUGUAUAAAUCGAAACAUGUUAAUUAGAUUUAUUAGAACAGCAUACAAAUAUGUGUAAAUCGAACCAGGCUGUUUUGAUUUAUAUAAAAAGCUAAAUCUAAUCUGGACUUCUGGUUAAUUCGAUUUGCAUAGAGAUAUGACUAAGGUGAUUUACGUUAUGUUUUUUAUUUUGGGUGAUUCAUAUCAAAUUGAGCGAAUAUUGGUUUAUUAAUGUGAAUUACCCUAAAUUUUAUAUCCCUUAAAAAUAUUAUUUUUUAAAGUGCUUAUAAAUAAAAAUUUCAUCCACUUAUUUUUUAAAUUAAAUUAAAUCUACUUAAUUAUUAAUCUGGAACCAAAGUUUACGGUAAUACUAAAAAAAAUUAUUUAAUUUAAUAUUCAUAAUUAUAUAUAUAACAUCUAUAUUGAUGUAUUUAUUAUAUUUAAAAUUAACUAAUUAUUCCAACCAUUAAAUUUGAGCUAUUUGGUCAAUUGCUGAAUCAUCUAAACUACUUGAGUUUUUGUUAGUGUUCAUGCACCCUUACUAUUAAGUUGUUGUUUUCGUAAUAAUUACAACUUAUAAUCAAUUAUUGAGCAACAUAUCAUAGUUAUUAAUUUAUUAAUUUAUGGACUUUGUUAGAUAAAUAAUAAUUUUUGUGAACAAUAUGAAUAAUAUACUUUAAAAAUGGUUCAAUAAAAUAAAAAUACAUUACACCCUCAAAUUAUUCACCUAAAUCUUAAUAUUAGAAUAAUUAUUUGCACACUUAAUAAAUUAAUAAAUAUUCAAUAUAUUCAUUAUUCACAUUAUUUAAUAUUUUCAUUAUCUACCUAUAUACUUUUCCUAAAUUUAUUAUAUAAUGGUACGCAAAUACAACCUUCUACCAUGCAUAUCAUGGAUCUUCAAAACCUUAUCUGUAUCUUCACCACCUUCCUCUUUCUCUUUAUGCUAUUGAACAUAGCCAUUAAGAAAUUUAGUUCUUCGAGGGAUAUUACGAAUUUACCCCCAGGGCCAAGAAAACUACCCAUGAUAGGAAACAUGCACAACCUUGUAGGAUCAAUGCCCCAUGAAUGCCUAAGAAACUUAGCAUCCAAAUAUGGACCCUUAAUGCACCUUAAACUAGGAGAAGUGUCCCACAUAAUAGUUACAUCACCUGAAAUGGCACAAGAGAUUAUGAAGACUCAAGAUCUCAACUUUUGUGAUAGGCCAAACCUUCUCUAUGCAAGAGUCAUGAAUUACAAUGGAACAGACAUUGCGGUAAAAAAUAUAGUUACCAGGAAGUUUUUAUAUCAUCUUUUGAAGAAGCAUUGCAAAUAGCAGGAAAAAAUUGUAUUGCUGAUCUGUAUCCUUCAAUUAGAGUAGUGCUUGAAAUGAUGAGUAGAGACAAGUCUAAGCUUGAAGAACUGUAUAUAAAGACUGAUAAGGUAUUACAAGACAUCAUAGAUGAUCAUAGAAAUAGAAAAGGUGGCAAAUGUAAAGAAGAAGAAGGCAGUGAAGAUUUAGUUGAUGUUCUUCUCAAGUUUCAACAAAAAGAUUCUGAAUAUCCCUUAACUGAUGAUAACAUUAAAGCAGUUAUCCAGGUUAGUCUAAUCAAGACAAUUAUUAAUGUAACAUGCCAGGAACCCAUAAUCAUGCACAACACAAACAAAGUUUCCAUAACAAAAAAAAUGAGCCGUCAUAAUAACUUGCAUGCAUAUAUAUAUAUAUAGUACACUCAAGGACACCUGCACUAUUACAAGUACAAUUUACAAGAGCUCAAUCUGAUUUAACAAUUUCAUUACAACCCAUCUCUUAAUAAAACUUUAUAUAUAUAUAUAUAUAUAUUAUAUUACAAUUUAAAUGCAUCAAAAGUUUUGACUAUUUAAUUUUUUUAUAAUUUUUUUCUUUAUACUAAUAAGAUUAUUAAUUCCUUAAUAUGUUUGUUAGCAAAACCUUUAUUAUAAUUAAUCCAUUUGCAGGACAUAUUUGCUGGUGGUGGAGAAACAUCCUCAGCGGUUGUGGAAUGGGCAAUGGCUGAAAUGAUAAAGAAACCAAAAGUGAUGGAAAGAGCACAAUCUGAGGUUAGAAGGGUUUAUGGUAGUAAAGGAUAUGUGGAUGAAUCAGAAUUGCACCAAUUGACAUACCUUAAGUGUAUCAUCAAAGAAACAUUAAGGUUACAUCCAUCUGUGCCAUUGUUAGUUCCUAGAGAGAACAAAGAACCAUGCCAAAUCAAAGGGUAUCAAAUUCCAGCCAAUUCUAGAAUUAUUAUCAAUGCUUGGGCAAUUGGAAGAGAUCCAACGUAUUGGGUUGAUGCCAUGGAAUUUAAGCCUGAGAGGUUUGUUGAUAAUUAUUCAAUUGAUAAUAAUAGAGGCACAAACUUUGAGUUUAUUCCAUUUGGUGGUGGAAGAAGAAUGUGUCCCGGGAUUACAUUUGCUACACCAAACAUGGAGUUGCCACUUGCUCAACUUCUUUACCAUUUUGAUUGGAAGCUUCCCAAUGGAAUCAAGAAUGAGGAACUUGAUAUGAGUGAGUUGUUUGGGAUCACUAUAAGAAGAAAAAAUGAUCUCUGCUUAAUUUCCAUUAUUCAUCAUCAACCCUAAUUAAUAUAAAUUAUCCCUAGAGUGAGAAAAUAAAAAAAAGUGAUUUUAUAUAUUAUGUUUUUAUUCACCACAUUUGAUCAUUUUUCUAUUUCUAUUACAAAUUCUAUAACCCCAAAGAUAAAGUCUAUAAAUAAUUCAAAAAUAUAAAAUAUCUCUCAUUUCAUAAAUUAAUUAAUUUUGAAGUUGAGUUAAGCCUAUUAAAUUUCAAUUUUAAUAACUUAUAAGUCUGUUGUUAUUGCACUGUUUUAAAGUGGAGUAUAUAGUCAACAAACACUACAACAAAAAUUGCGAGCAACGGCGAUUUUUCGAUCAAGUCAUGACGGUUUAAUUUAAACUACUGUUAAAUAUCACCCACAACGGUUUAAAAAAUGAUAACAGAUAAAUUGUCGGCAUAGAAGCUAAGUGGCAGCUAUUUUAUAUAUAACCAUUAGAAUAACUACUAUAUUAAGCACACAGUAAACGACGGCGGUUUGAAAUUGUCAUUAUACAUGGUUUAAAAAUGCAAAUUAAAGUUCUUUGUCAUGGUUUGUAAAAGCUGCCAAAAAAUGGUUCAAAAAAUGGGUAUAAAAAUAUUAAGAUAAACAUAUAUUUACAUAUAGGUAUAUUCAUAUGAAAUUAAUAAUUAAAAAGUAUUAAAUAAUAAUUUAAUUAAAUUGAUCAAAUUAUCUAUCGAAUGUGAAAUAUAAAUUUCAAAUUUGCAUGUAAUAAAUUUUCACCAAAUAUUAUAUAUAUGGGUUAUGGAGAAGCAGAAAAAUCAAAGAAGAAUGCAUCACCUAUACAUUACUAUACCAAAGUCAGAAGUUAGGUAUAAUUAAGUAACCAUCUUAACUAAUUGGCAGCUAACAACUUUAACAUAUAACGUGUAAAGGCUUAUAGUUUGAAAAUUUUUUUAAAUAUAUCUAAAAUAAUGAUAUUUUAAUCAUUUUAAUUAAUAUAUUAUAUAAAAUUUUUAUAGAUUAAAAUAUUGAUGUUUAAAGAAUAUUUAAAAUUCUUGCGUGUGACAUAUAUGUAUAAAUUCUGCUAGGAAAAUAGUGAGAAAUCUUGACAAUGUGUACAAUAAACUUAUUAUUUACUCCAAUAAGGAUAAAUAAUAAAAAUUACUCCACAGAUUACCUAAAUUCAAAAACUCUCAUUCAAUUAUUUUACAUCAAAUGUCAAAUUUUAAAUCCCCCAAUUUCAAAUUUCAAAAUUUUAAAAAAUCCAAUUAGUUAUUUCAAAAAAAUAACCAUUCGAAAUCCUAAUUUAACAAAGUAUUUUACUCCAAUACUCUCUUCUUUUUCAACCGGCAGCCACCCCCACCUUCAUCAAUAAUCAUCUCACUUCACCAUCACUACUUGACUUGCCACACGUCACUCACUCUUAGUAAAAAUAACCAUCCACUUAUGGAUAAAAAUAAUCAUUCGCAUACCUAAUAAAUUGAACAUCUAACAUAUUUUAAUUAUAUAUAACUAAAUCCAAUACAAUCAAAAUAAUUAUCUACAUAAAAAUUAAAAUAACCAUUCGGAUACCUACUAAAAUGAUCAUCCUAAAUUGAUCACUAAAAUAGAAGAAGAAGGAGAUGAAUAAACAGAAAAAGCAACUAUGAUCAUCAUUUAAUUUUUAUUAAAAAAAAUGUAUAAUUUGACACAUGAGUCUUAUGAUUUGAUGUAACUAUAAAACUGGAGAAAUAAAAAAUAAAAAAAAGUUUGAACAAAUGAGGAGACAUUAGUGAGAAUCAAAAGUAAGCAAUUGAGUGUUUGAUUUGAUAUUGCGUUCAAACACGCGUGCGUUAUAUCUACCAUACUCACACGGUUAAUUCAAACAGCGGCAUUGUUGAGCUUUUGACGGCGUAUGCGGGAAUCCGUGGUGGCGUCGACUGGAUUCUGCGGCGGCAACAUCGGCGGCACAGUCGGCCGAGAGGGGUGACAACGGUAUAGAUGAGGCUGCGGCAGCAAGAGAGGCACCGGAAACUGGGAGCAUAUGGUGAGAAUAGGAGUGACCAUUCGUAUUGUGAAUGAGUUUAAUUUUUACGGACGACGGCAGAGCUAUGGGCGACGGCGACUGCUGUUGAUAGUAGCGUGACACGGGUGAGAUAAGAAGAAACUAGACUAAUUAUUAUUUAAUAUUAAUUUUAAUUUUAUCUCUAUUAUACACAUUAUAUACUAAAUUUUUUGGCUCUUCAUGUUUUCUCUAUAUGUAUACAUCUAGCUCGGUCUAAAAUAUUUUUACAUGAUCAAUACAAUUCUAUAACAUUUAUAUUUUAACACAGUCUCGAUAACUGAUAGUAUAUUUUAUUAGGGAUACUUUUUAAAAUCUUCUAACAAAUAUCUUAAACGUACUAGUAGUCAAGAGUACUAUAUAAAAAGACAAAGCUUACUAAUUAUUAUAUAUUAUUAAAAAGGCAAAAUUGUUAUAUUUUAAUACAUAAACAUUAUCAAACAAUUUCUAUCAUUAUCUUUUUACAUAAUGUUAUUAACGGACCUUUUAGCUAAAUCUUAACUUUUUUCUCAAAAUAUUUUUAUAUUGCUUUGAACAAUAAAAAUUAAUAAUUUAAUUUAAAAUCAUCUUAUAUAUCCAAACAAUUUCACUAGCUACAAAACGGGUCAAAACAGUAAGUUCAAUUGGUUCUUAAUAAAUGUCCAUAUCUAAUAAGUGGGGCCUGAAUUAAUUAUCAGUGGAAAUUAAGAGAAUUCAGCAUACCAAGCAAUCUCAUCAGUGCCCGACUCACUCCGCCGAUAUAUCUAGUAAGAGAUUGGAUAAAAUGGCAAAGAUUAAAAUGUUGAAAUGGAUGAGUGGUCAUACGCGAUUGGAUAAAAUAAGGAACGAAAAUAUAAGGGAGAGAAUUGGAGUAGCACCCAUUGUGAAAAAGAUGGUUGAAUCGCAUCUCAGGUGGUUUGGAUAUGUAAGAAGAAGACCGAUAAAACAUCCAGUCAAGAAGGUGGAUGAGAUGGAAGAUGGACAAGGGGUAAAAGACAGAGGAAGACCUAAGAAAACCAUUUAUGAGAUGAUCAAACGAGAUCUACAUGAAAACGGUCUCUCUAUUAACAUGAUACAUGGCAGAGCACAAUGACGACGUUUGAUUCAUGUAGCCGACUCCACUUAGUGGGACAAGACUUUGUUAUUCUUGUUGUUAUAUUAUAAAAUUAAUCCUCCUUAAUAAUUUUAAUAUUAAUAAUUCUUUUUAAUAAUUAAAUUUUUCUAACAAUCAUUUAGAAUAAUUUUUCUAUUAUAUAAUGGUAGGCAAAUAUAACCUUCUACCAUGCAUAUCAUGGAUCUUGGAAACCUUUUGUUUAUUCUCACCACCUUCCUCUUUCUCUUUGUACUAUUCAACUUAGUUAUUAAGAAAUCCACUUUUAGUAAGACCAAUUUACCCCCAGGACCAUGGAAACUACCACUCAUAGGAAAUAUCCACCAAUUUGUUGGUUCUUCACAACUCCAUGAAACCCUAAGAAACUUAGCAUCCAAAUAUGGACCCUUAAUGCACCUUAAACUAGGAGAAGUGUCCCACAUCAUAGUUACAUCACCUGAAAUGGCACAAGAGAUUAUGAAGACUCAAGAUCUCAACUUUUGUGAUAGGCCAAACCUUCUCUUUGCAAGAGUCAUGACUUACAAUUGCACAAACAUUGCCUUUGGCCCCUAUGGAGAUUAUUGGAGGCAUGUACGAAAGAUAUGUAGCAUGGAGUUAUUAACAACAAAACGUGUUCAAUCUUUUAGGCACAUAAGAGAAGCAGAGGUUUCAGAGUUGGUCAAAGCAAUAUCUCAAAGUCAAGGCUCCAUUUUCAAUCUCUCUCACAAGAUUUUAUCAACGACCUAUGGAAUAACGGCUAGAAUAGCAUUUGGUACAAAAAUAAAAUUAUGCUCUCAUCAUCAGUCAUCAUAUGCGUAUUAUCUUAUAUUCUUUUGUUUAUAAUUAACUACUAUAUUUCAUAGAAAUGUUGAGUAAAAAAAAUUAGGUAAAAACAGUCAAAAUUUAUCUUAUUUAAUAUUUAUUANNNNNNNNNNNNNNNNAAUUACUGUAAUAAUAGUCAUAGUUGAUACAUGUCAUGCUGGCAAAGCUAUUAUUUACUUUAGGGGCAGGUUUCUAAAGGUGAAAAUUCAGGUGCAGUUAACUUUAUGUAAAGUUGAUAGUUGAGAGUCGUUAAAUGAUUUGACAAGUUUGACUAAAUAUAUCAUAUAACAACUCUCACUAUUAACUUCAUAUGAAAUUAACCGUGCACUUGAGUUUCUACCUUUUCUAAGACUACUGAAAAAAACUUCGUAAUUUGUUGGAAUUAUUGUGAUGUCAUUCCAAAUAUAAUUAUUAAGAAAAUUUCUUAUAAUUUAAUACAUAUUUUAAUAUUUGUAGUUUACAUUCAAUUUUUAUUGUUAUUUUAUUGUACUCUGUCAUAUUUACUAUCUAAUAAUUGUAUGUUUUUUAUUUGACAAUAUAAGUAAAAAAUAUAGCUAUCAGGAAGUUUUUAUAUCAUGUGUUGAGGAAGCAACGCAAAUAGGAGGAGGAAAUUGUAUUGCUGAUCUGUAUCCUUCAAUUAGAGGACUGCUUGAAAUGAUGAGUAGAGGCAAGACUAAGCUUGAAGAAGUGCACAGAAAGUCUAAUAAGAUAUUGCAAGACAUCAUAGAUGAUCAUAGAAAUAGAAGAAAUAGUGGCAAAUGUGACAAAGAAGGAGAAGAUCUAGUUGAUGUUCUUCUCAAAUUUCAACAAAAAGAUUCUGAAUAUUUUUUUACUGAUGACAAUAUCAAAGCAGUCAUCCUGGUUAGUCUGUUAACUAUAUAUGGAUUGAUCUUAUUAGAAAAAAUGAUAUAAUUAAUCAAUUUGCAGGACAUGUUUGCUGGUGGUGGAGAAACAUCUUCAGCAGUUGUGGAAUGGGCAAUGGCUGAAAUGAUAAAGAAACCAAGUGUGAUGGAAAGAGCACAAUCUGAAGUUAGAAGGGUUUAUGGUAGCAAAUGGUAUGUAGAUGAAUCAGAAUUGCACCAAUUGACAUACCUUAAGUCUAUCAUCAAAGAAACCUUAAGGUUACAUCCAUCUGUGCCAUUGUUAGUUCCAAGAGAGAACAAAGAACCAUGCCAAAUCAAUGGGUACCAAAUUCCAGCCAAUUCUAGAAUUGUUAUCAAUGCUUGGGCAAUUGGAAGAGAUCCAACCUAUUGGGUUGAUGCCAUGGAAUUUAAGCCUGAGAUGUUUGUUGAUAAUUAUUCAAUUGAUAAUAGAGGCACAAACUUUGAGUUUAUUCCAUUUGGUGGUGGAAGAAGAAUGUGUCCCGGGAUUGCAUUUGCUACACCAAACAUGGAGUUGUCACUUGCUCAAUUUCUUUAUCAUUUUGAUUGGAAGCUUCCCAAUGGAAUCAAGAAUGAUGAACUUGAUAUGACUGAGUUGUUUGGGAACACUGUAAGAAAAAAAAAUGAUCUCUGCCUAAUUCCCAUUAUUGUCAAGGAUAUGCAUAAAGAUAACAAUGUAAUCAGCAGUUAGGAUUAUAAGUUACAUGUAGUUAGCCUUGGUGGUAUGGUUAGGUAAUUCUAUUAGGAAUUCUGUUUGAUUCUGUUUUCAUUCUAAUAUUGUGAGUAACCCAUGUAACCUCUUUAUAAGGCUAAACUUUGCUAUGGUCAAUAACACAAUUUCCAUUUCCUUCUUUACUAAUAUAUGAUCAAAUAGUUCUUUCUCUCUAAACCUUCACUUAUUUCUUACACACACUGUAUAUUCUUCAAGAUCACUUUAUGAUAUCAAGAUCAUAGGUUUAGAUCCGAACAGCACUUCAGAGAACCAGGGCUUAAUUGCAUAGGAAUAUAUCUCCAAGAUUAAACAAGUUGCAGAUACUUUUACUUUUUUUGGUAUCUCUGCCACCUCUAAAGAAGACAUCGAUGCAAUCUUGAGAGAUUGAAUAUGGAUUAACAGAUGCUUAUCACUACAAUCAUGUAUGAUUAAACAAAUCUCCCUUCUUGCUUGAAUAGAUAUUUUUUAUAUAGCUAAAAUCACUAAAUACCUUCAUUAUGAAAUAUUAAAAAAUUAACAUAAUUAAUUAUUUUUAUUCAUCAGUUAGUCAAUAAUAUUCACUACUAGAAAACUAGUUAUUACAGACGGAUAUUUCCGACGGAUUUUAUCCCACUGAAAUACAGACAGAAUUUCAGAGGGAUUUUUUUGUCAGAAAACAAAAAAAAUAGAUUAGGAUAAAUUACAGACGGAAAAGAGAAUCCAUCGAUAAUUCCGUCGAAAAAAUUAAUUUUUUUCUGUGAGAAAUGGUUACAGACGGAUUUUUCAUCUGUAAUUAAAUGGACAAAAAAUUGCAUUUUAUUAAGUUAUUACAGACGGAUUUUCCGUCUGUAAUUUAAAAGUUUCCGUCAGAAAAUAUAUUGAAAUUAGGGUUGUUACUGAUAACUCCUCCAUUCAAUCACGAUCCUUCUACUUGGAGAAGCAGAAACCUGGAAUGAAUCAGGCAUUGGCGAUUUUAGAGAUGACGGGAAAGGCAGCGCCCUUGGAUUGAGAGUGAUUAAGGGAGGCUCGUUCCUUGAUCUUCUGCAUCUGAACAUGCGCUCCAUGAGGAGCUCGUACUGGCACUUCUCGUAGGAGUGACGCUCGUUCUCGCACUUCCAUGGAAGGUAGAACUCGGCCUGGCGGCACUUGUUGAGAGGGAUGAGGAGGUGUGUGCACUGGUCCUGUAUGCAACAGAGCUUCGGUGCAACAGAAGCUCAGUACAAUGGAGGUUCGGUGCGACGGCAUUGCAAGGCUGAGAGGCGGCGCUGACGGAGCAUUUGGAGGAAAUGAGUGUGUAGAAGUAGAAGGAUCGUGAUUGAAUGGAGGAGUUAUCAGUAACAACCCUAAUUUCAAUAUAUUUUCUGACGGAAACUUUUAAAUUACAGACGGAAAAUCCGUCUGUAAUAACUUAAUAAAAUGCAAUUUUUUGUCCAUUUAAUUACAGAUGGAAAAUUCGUCUGUAACCAUUUCUCACAGAAAAAAAUUAAUUUUUUCAACGGAAUUAUCGAUGGAUUCUCUUUUUCGUCUGUAAUUUAUCCUAAUCUAUUUUUUUUGUUUUCUGACAAAAAAAUCCCUCUGAAAUUCUGUCUGUAUUUCAGUGGGAUAAAAUCCGUCGAAAAUAUCCGUCUGUAAUAACUAGUUUUCUAGUAGUGGAUAAUUCACAUUAAUAAAUCAACAUUCGUCCAAUAAUUUUACGUGAAUCACCUAAAAUAAAAAAUAUCAUGUGUAUCAUCCCAAUCACAUUUCUAUACAAAUCGAACAAGUCAAACUAGAUUUAGUUCUCUAUAUAAUUAAAUUGAAAAAGUUUGGUUCGAUUUAUACAUCUUUACAUGAUGUCCUAGUAAAUCUAAUCAAUAUGUUUCAAUUUAUGCAUGCAUGCAUGUUAUCCUAAUAAAUCUAAGCACACUGUUUCGAUUUAGCCAUGCAUGUGAGCCCAUAGUAAUUCGAAACAAUCUAUUUCGAAUUACACCCUGAUAUUGUCCUUAUAUAUUCUAAUGGGACUGACGAUUAGAUUUAUUGUAAGGACAACCUAUAUAAAUAUGAUAUGAACGUUAAUUAUGUAUGAGAGUAAAACAAAAUGGCUAGUGAGGAUGGCAUAGACGAUGUACUAUGGGAUGAUGAUGAGGAUGACGAUGUGGAGCCAAACAUAAUUUCCAAUGAGAGUGAUGAUGACAUAGCAGGGAGUAAUCCAGUUGAGGGUGGUGCAGCGUCUAGUUCAGGGACUAAGCAGUAUCCCCUGCACUUUUCAAAUUUAGACUUGGAUGCUAUGAGAUAGCAGGGGGUUCCUGGGGAACCUUUUGAAUUUAGUGCCAGAGACACACAAGAUGCUGGAGGACUAGUGAAGUUUCAGGUUGGUUAGCAGUUUUAGGAUAAAGAAGAGGCCGUGUUAAGCGUGAAGACUUAUAACAUCCGACGCGGUGUUCAGUACAAAGUGGUGGAGUCUGAUUAUCGCAAGUACUACGGGAAGUGUAAGGAAUUUGGCAACGGGUGCGCAUGGUUUAUUCGGAUCAGUCUUCGCCAGCGUAGAGGUUUUUGGAGGUAAAAUGGUACAAUAGACUUCAUACUACCGUGCAUUCUGUAUUCGACAUGUGGCCGCCAAUUUUUCUAUAAACUUUAAGGGCAAGGAUGCACGAAGACUUUUGGUAAAUGCGGCUUAUGCCAAGACUGAGGUUGAAUUUGACUACUGGUUUGAUAUUCUCCAUUCCGAAGAUCCUGCCAUGAAUGAUUGGGCUAAAAGGAUUGACUAUGUAAUGUGCAUAGAAAUAGUUUUGAAACUUCAUCAUUAGAUAUACAGUGUUGCCAAGCUGACAUUAGAUAUUAACUAUUUAGAUUUGACAAAUAGUGACAUCCCUAAUCUGUAGGAGAUCUAUCCUAAGCCUCCAAUGAGCAACUCGAGGUCUCUUCUCACUCGCAGUUAGGUUGUGACCUGACCACCUGCACCCCAAACACAUGUUAUCACUAAAUGAAAAUAACUCCAAAUAAUAAAAGAGAAAGAUAGCACAUAAAUAGAACAUCACCUCAAGGCCAAAGGCCAGCCAAAAGUAUCAUAUCCUGCGGGUCUGAAACCAGAAAACUGUUAGAAGAUCCAUGACUGAAGCAGCUGUAAUGAACCAGCUAACUUCACAACGUUUCUGUUUGCCACACGGCACAUGCACCAUUAUAACUAUGACAGAAUAGUUAAUCCCCAACUGUACCCAUUCAUGUCCUCAAGCUUGGCUACGUAUGGCAGCCAUUGAAUGUGCAGGUGAGUACCGGACUUGUCACCAAAUAGCAGAGUCCCCAAAAGCAUCACGAUAUAGGCCCGGACAUAUCUCCUAAUAGUGGCGUCGUCAGCGCCAUCAGGAAUCUCUCCGAAUGUGUCCUGCAUCCAACUGCAUCUCAUUGUAAACUUGUCGAUGCAAUUCGUAGGAGGCAAAACACCCAACAGCUCCUAGAACCACACCCAAACUGGGCGACCACCCUCGAUGUAUCGCUCAAACUCCAUCAGGCAUCCAGUGACGUACUGUCCAACGAUCGGCAGCCCUAACUGAUACACCACGUCCUGCACUGUAAUCGUGCACUCUCCGAACGGCAUAUGAAACAUGUGCGUUUCCGGAUGCCAUCUUUUCACGAAUGCAUUCACCAACGGCUCAUCCAACUUAAAUCAAGUUUCGUUCAGCCUCGUAAGAUGAUAUAAAUCGGCCAUCUACAAGUACAAAACGAUCCUCUCAUCCAGGUACAUACCUUACUAUCAUCUCAUGCUACCGAUACAUCGGUGGGGCUACAUAAACAACAUAACAAAUUGUCUCUUACGACCACAUCAAAACAUAUUUACAUAACAAUAUCAACUAAUAUAUAUCUUAAUCUAAAUAAUGCCAUAAAUACAACCAAAUAAUGUUACGAGUACAAACACACAAUAAAUUUAUAUAUUCAUCAAACUGGCCGAAUAAAAAUAAGUUUAAUACUAAUAAAUAUUUUUACUAACAACCCAAAUCACAACAUCAAGUCCAUUGGCUAGUCUUACUCUAACUAAGUUUCACUACACAUUAUCUUCACUACUCAUAUUUUUCUACUUAUUUGUAACUACUAUCCAAAUUAGAACUUGCUCGGUCAAACUUCUAGAGAUUAUCAAGCGACUAAUCUAACCACUCUAUUUAGUUUAACAAUUGUAAUAAUGACCAACAUUAAAAGAGACAAAAAAGCAUUAACGUAAAACAUUUAAUACUAUUUUUGAAAAAAAAAAUUGUAUACACCAACCUUUUUAUUGAUGAUAUAUAUACCAGCAAUAUGAGCAACUCUGUCCAAAUGAUAAAGACGAUCUGAGUUAUCUCCCAUCACGUUAUUUAUCAAAUGUUGGAGUGUUUGGGCUAAGGCUUCUCUGAGCGUUUUGGAUUCGUAGUUCGAAUGAGUCCAAUUCAAACUCUAUUUAUAAGAAUCCUCCUAGUAAAUCUAAUUAGAUUCAUUCAAAUUAUCAUGGGCACGAAACCGUGGGUAAUUCGAAACAGCCAUAACCGAAUUACUAUGGGCUUUCCAAUGCUCGUAAAUUGAAGGUUUGUUUUGAAUUAUUAUGGACAAACGUCCAAGGCUAAAUCGAAACAGGGUGCUUAGAUUUACUAGAAUAGCAUACAUGCAUGUAUAAAUCGAAACAUGGUGAUUAGAUUUACUAGAACAGCAUGCAAAUAUGUGUAAAUCGAACCAGACUGUUUUGAUUUAUAUAGAAAGUUAAAUCUAGUCUGGACUUCUAGUUAAUUCGAUUUGUAUAGAGAUAUAAUUGGAGUGAUUCACGUUACGUUUUUCAUUUUGGGUGAUUCACAUCAAAUUGAACGAAUGUUGGUUUAUUAAUGUGAAUUACCUUAAAUUUUAUAUCGCUUAAAAAUAUCAUUUUUAAAGUGCUUAUAAAUAAAAAUUUCAUCCACUUAUUUUUUAAAUUAAUUUUUAAAAUUGAAUUAAAUCUACUUAAUUAUUAAUCUGGAACUAAAGUAUAUCAUAGUUAUUAAUUUAUUAAUUUAUAGAUUUUGUUAAAUAAAUAAUAAUUUUUGUGAAUAAUAUGAACAAUUGAUUCUAAAAUUAAUUCAAUAAAACAAAAAUAUACUACAUCUUCAAAUUAUCUACCUAAAUCUUAAUAUUAAGAUAAUCAUUUACACACUUAAUAAAUUAAGAUAAAUACUAUUCUACCAUCUCUAAAGUAGCAUGUAAGUUACCCUCUCUGAUGUGUCAUAUUUUAAUUGGGUGAUUAUUUUAACCUGAGUUACCUUCUCCACUCUUUCGUCGUCAUUGCGACUCUCAAGCAUCACCGUCGCAUUGGUGUUUUGUUUUCUCUUCCUAAAUCAUUGUUCUAGAAAAUGUACUCUAACUCUCUCUAAUUGUGUUUACUCCUCUUCACUCCUUCGUCAUCGUCAUUAUGCCUCCCAAGAAUCACCGUCUCAUUGGAUGUCUUAUUUUCUCUUCCCAAAUCAUUCUUCCAAAAAAGGUACUUCAACUCUCUCUAAUUGCGUAUACUUUACUUGUUUCCACUCCUUUGUCGUUGUCAAUGUGCCUCCUAAGUAUCACCGUCUUAUUGGGUGUUCCAUUUUCUUCUUCUAACUCAGGUUAAAAUAAACACCAAAUUAAAAUAUGACACAUUAAAGAGGAUAACUUACAUGUUAUUUUAGAGAAGGUAGGAUAGUAUUCACCAUAAAUUAAAUAUUCGAUAUAUUCAUUAUUCACAUUCUUUACUAUUUUCAUUGUCUACCUAUAUACUUUAUAAUUUAUUAUAUAAUGGUACGCAAAUACAACCUUCUACCAUGCAUAUCAUCAUGGAUCUUCAAAACCUUAUCUCUAUCUUCACCACCUUCCUCUUUCUCUUUAUGCUAUUGAAAAUAGCCAUUAAGAAAUUUAGUUCUUCCAAGGAUAUUACCAAUUUACCCCCAGGACCAAGAAAACUACCCAUCAUAGGAAACAUGCACAACCUUGUAGGAUCAAUGCCGCCCCAUGAAUGCCUAAGAAACUUAGCAUCUAAAUAUGGACCCUUAAUGCACCUUAAACUAGGAGAAGUGUCCCACAUCAUAGUUACAUCACCUGAAAUGGCACAAGAGAUUUUGAAGACUCAAGAUCUCAACUUUUGUGAUAGGCCAAACGUUCUCUUUGCAAGAGUCUUGAAUUACAAUGGAACAGACAUUGUUUUUGCCCCCUAUGGAGAGUAUUGGAGGCAUGUACGAAAGAUAUGCACCAUGGAGUUAUUAACAGUAAAGCGUGUUCAAUCUUUUAGGCGCAUAAGAGAAGCAGAGGCUUUAGAGUUGGUCAAAGCAAUAUCUCAAAGUCAAGGCUCCAUUUUCAAUCUCUCUCACAAGAUUUUAUCAAUGACCUAUGGAAUCUCGGCUAGAAUAGCAUUUGGUAAAAAGAAAUUUAUUCACAGCGCAAAU
This 40682-nucleotide long non-coding RNA is filed under the name Arachis ipaensis. Its description in RNAcentral is "long non-coding RNA (AIPA_LNC001637)". Lineage: Eukaryota; Viridiplantae; Streptophyta; Magnoliopsida; Fabales; Fabaceae. The record is from RNAcentral.